AGUCGAGCGAYSGAUUAAGAGCUUGCUCUUAUGAAGUUAGCGGCGGACGGSUGAGUAACACGUGGGUAACCUGCCCAUAAGACUGGGAUAACUCCGGGAAACCGGGGCUAAUACCGGAUAACAUUUUGCACCRCAUGGUGCGAAAUUGAAAGGCGGCUUCGGCUGUCACUUAUGGAUGGACCCGCGUCGCAUUAGCUAGUUGGUGAGGUAACGGCUCACCAAGGCAACGAUGCGUAGCCGACCUGAGAGGGUGAUCGGCCACACUGGGACUGAGACACGGCCCAGACUCCUACGGGAGGCAGCAGUAGGGAAUCUUCCGCAAUGGACGAAAGUCUGACGGAGCAACGCCGCGUGAGUGAUGAAGGCUUUCGGGUCGUAAAACUCUGUUGUUAGGGAAGAACAAGUGCUAGUUGAAUAAGCUGGCACCUUGACGGUACCUAACCAGAAAGCCACGGCUAACUACGUGCCAGCAGCCGCGGUAAUACGUAGGUGGCAAGCGUUAUCCGGAAUUAUUGGG
RNAcentral lists this ribosomal RNA (517 nucleotides) under Bacillus sp. RZ1MS12. Its description in RNAcentral is "bacterial SSU rRNA". It matches the Rfam family "Bacterial small subunit ribosomal RNA", at positions 60 to 558 of the family's 1533-position model. The record is from RNAcentral. Lineage: Bacteria; Bacillati; Bacillota; Bacilli; Caryophanales; Bacillaceae.